This 27-nucleotide small RNA is filed under the name Bombyx mori (domestic silkworm). RNAcentral describes it as "ovarian small RNA-26765". Lineage: Eukaryota; Metazoa; Arthropoda; Insecta; Lepidoptera; Bombycidae. The record is from RNAcentral.
UCCAGAUACAGCGCCGGGCGUGUCUUC